This is a long non-coding RNA of Cicer arietinum (chickpea), 498 nucleotides long. RefSeq lists it as uncharacterized. The record is from RefSeq and is a predicted model, not a curated record. NCBI's taxonomy places the organism in Eukaryota, Viridiplantae, Streptophyta, Magnoliopsida, Fabales, Fabaceae.
AAAGGAAGAAGUUUUAGAAGGGGAGGAACAAAAACAACCGCACAUAGGAGAAAAAGAGGGGGAAAGAGGCCACACAUCCAUCAGGAAGAGGAAGCAAAAGAGAUUUUGAAGGCUUGAAGUUGUAAGCCAUGCGCCUAGCCAAGUGUUUUUCAUGUCACUUCUUUCUUCCUAGAUCAGAGCAUUGGACCCAAACUUGUAGCAAUACAAUGAUAUGCGUUUUGUGGACCCUAUUUUACAAAGGUUUUGACUUUUGAAUGCAAACGAGGAGAGACUACUACACUUUGGAGGUUAAAUUGCCCACUCUUCAUGUGUAAUACUUAUUUCUCCUUAUAUAUAUCUUCUCAAACAUUAUGAGUAGAAAAAUUCCUAUUGAAUAGGGCAUAGAUGAACCUCCUUGAAUCUAUGUGAUUUUCUUUUUUAUAUACUAUUUUUGAAAUUAUAAAUUGUUUGAUUAUUCAUCUACUUUUGUUCUUAUAACUCUUUUGUGUUUGAUGACCA